RNAcentral lists this transfer RNA (73 nucleotides) under freshwater metagenome. RNAcentral's name for it is "tRNA-Val". It matches the Rfam family "tRNA". Rfam says of the family: Transfer RNA (tRNA) molecules are approximately 80 nucleotides in length. Their secondary structure includes four short double-helical elements and three loops (D, anti-codon, and T loops). Further hydrogen bonds mediate the characteristic L-shaped molecular structure. tRNAs have two regions of fundamental functional importance: the anti-codon, which is responsible for specific mRNA codon recognition, and the 3' end, to which the tRNAs corresponding amino acid is attached (by aminoacyl-tRNA synthetases). tRNAs cope with the degeneracy of the genetic code in two manners: having more than one tRNA (with a specific anti-codon) for a particular amino acid; and 'wobble' base-pairing, i.e. permitting non-standard base-pairing at the 3rd anti-codon position. The record is from RNAcentral.
GGAUCGUUGGCUCAGCGGUAGAGCACCUCGGUGACAUCGAGGGGGUCACUGGUUCGAUCCCAGUACGGUCCAC